This 72-nucleotide transfer RNA is filed under the name Ictidomys tridecemlineatus (thirteen-lined ground squirrel). RNAcentral's name for it is "Spermophilus tridecemlineatus (thirteen-lined ground squirrel) tRNA". It matches the Rfam family "tRNA". From Rfam's summary of the family: Transfer RNA (tRNA) molecules are approximately 80 nucleotides in length. Their secondary structure includes four short double-helical elements and three loops (D, anti-codon, and T loops). The record is from Rfam by way of RNAcentral. Lineage: Eukaryota; Metazoa; Chordata; Mammalia; Rodentia; Sciuridae.
UGGGGUAAAGCUCAGUGGCAGAGCAUUUGCCUAGCAUGCUCAAGGUCCUGAGUUAGAACCUCAGUGCCACAA